Molecule: long non-coding RNA, 169 nt
Organism: Sphaeramia orbicularis (orbiculate cardinalfish)
Lineage: Eukaryota; Metazoa; Chordata; Actinopteri; Kurtiformes; Apogonidae
Exons: 2
Source: RefSeq, a predicted model, not a curated record
AACAGACCUGUCACCGCGUGUGCUAAAACAGGUGUGUGGAACCAUCAGCAGGUGCUGUCCUGAAGACCUCAGGCUACGAGUCGAGCUGUAGGGCUGGAUCAGAGAAGCAAUGUAUGCAGGGGCCUGGACAUGGAGAGCCCGGAAAGUUAACACCAGAAUUUAAAAUGAA